ACACACGGCACAAGAUGGCCGGAGAGGCAGCAGCACCCCGAGCUGUCAGGCGUUCCGCCGCGGCCGCGAGGCCCGCCGGCCGGCGGGGAGCUACGCCCGGACGGCCAGCAGGCCCGCGGGAGUGGGGCUGCCGCGGCUGAGGCGAGGCGGGCCGCGCGCGUCGGCGUCACAGCCCGCGGCAGAGGCGCCCAGGGCGGCCGGGCCCACGACGCCGAAAGCGCCGCUGCGGUUGCCGCCUCGGAGGCUCCCCCGGGCCCCGGCGGCUGGACCCGGCGCGGGCGGGAGGCUCGGGCGGGCGGUCCGGCCCGGGACUCGGGUUUGGGCGACCAGGAGGUGCCGGUGGCCGCGCUCGGACCCGGUGACUUAAGAGAUUAAAAUUAAUUUGGUUGCUGUUGGUUCUGAACAAAUAAUGAGUUCUUUUAUUUGAGGUAUGCCAUUUUGAAGACUGAGACGUUGGAGUUUUAUCCUAGAGGAUAAAGGAAAUCUUUGGGAAAGUCAGUAUUUUAUAUAGCAAAUUUGAUUGUGGAGCGGCAUAAGGGGGAGAAAGAUAAGUUGAGGACGUCUCUUUAUCUUUUGUUAAUCAGAGGUGGUGAUAGAGUGGAAAAUAUAACACGUUUCGGCAUUCAGGAGACCUACCUUCCAAUAAAUAUGAACCUCAAACUGAAUCCUCUAAAGGCCCCAUACAAUGAAGUAGACAUUGGUGGAAACAUUUAGUAAGUAUUAUUCAAUUUACAUGUUUAAUCUGUUUAGAAAUUUUAAAUACUACUUUGGAAAUUUUGAAAAUUCGAGUCAGAAUUGUAAAGAGGGAUUUAGUGAAACUCAACACAGUACAAGAAAAUCAACAUGGAAAUUUCGCUUAUUAAUUUACUCCAAUCUAUUAUUUUCUGCUUUCUUCACUUAGGCAAGUUAAAAUGCAAACAAACCCACAUUUGAACAUACCUCUAACACUAUUAUAAACAUGGAUGUUGCUAAAUGGUUCCUCUUUGUUUUUGUAAAUAAAGUUUUAUUGCAGCACAGCUAUACGCUUUCAUUUAGUUAUUGUUUGCCGCUGCUUUCUCAGUAUAUAGCAGCAGCAAGCAGAGGAGUUCUAUUGAAUGGCCUACAAAGCCUAAAAUAUUUCCUGUCUCAUCUGUAGGGAAAGUUUAUCCUAGGUCCUACAGCUUUUCCUUUUGUCAGCAUUGCCUUAACCUGUAUAGAACUCAGAAGCCCUUCGGUUCUCUUUUGGUAAUAGAACAUAAUUUUUAAUGAUUUCCAAUAUUAUAAUUACUUUUAAUUAAUUAAUUUUGAAGUUAAACUUGAAAGCCCAACAAAAAGUUCUUUAGCCUGAUUGUCCCUGAAGUUAUGCUUUGAUGUUAGAAGACAUGGUUAGCACCUCUGAAAUAGUUUUUCUAACAGCCUGAAAAAUAGUUGGAAAGAGUUGAUGGGAAGGUUGUAUAAAUGAAUUUUGGUGAAUUCUCAACAUGAUUUAUUUAUUUUUAUUUUAUUUUUCGAGACAGAGUUCCACUGUCACCCAUGCUGGAGUGCAGUGUCAUGAUCUUGACUCAUCGCAACCUCCGCCUCUGGGGCUCAAGCGAUUCUCCUGCUUCAGCCUCCAGUGUAGCUGGGAUUACAGUCACGCACCACCAUUCCCAGCUAAUUUUUGUAUUUUUAGUAGAGAUGGGGUUUCCCCAUGUUGGCCAGGCUGGUCUCGAACUCCUGACCUCAGGUGAUCCACACGCCUCAGCCUCCCAAAGUGCUAGGAUUACAGGUGUGAGCCACCGCACCUGGCCAACAUGAUUUAUUAUUGACAACCUUUUUGGUAAUUAUAUAUUAGCUACUUCAUAAAAAUAAUUUUUUUGAAUCAUAUUUGGGAAUCUAGAUUUUAGAUGAUAAUUUUUGCCUAUGGCUACUUUAGCUUGCGUUGUGUAAAUGGCUGCUAGGGCCUGCGAAAUAGAUUUUAUUUUUGGAGGGGGAUUUGUUUUUCAAUACAGGAUGAUGAAAGAGAUGAAAACUUUUCUAAUAUAGUACAAUAAUUGGCUGUGGUCAUUUUAAAGGGAUCAGUUGCAUAGCAUAUAGUAGAUGCUCAAUAAAUACUUAGUGUAUCAAUAUGGCUUCUGUUAAACAUUGUUUAUCAGCUAGUGUUUUGGAUUUAAUUUAAAAACAGUGACAUUGACUAUUAAAACAUGUUUUAAUGAAUUAAAUAUAAAAUUGUAGGUAUGCCUGAAAGCCAAAGUUUUGACCAAGUAAAAAUUAAAAGUGACAAGAUUUCAUUUUUUCUCUGCAAUUCUCAAUCUCUUAGUUUGCAUAUAUAGUCAACUUUUAAACCAUUGAGGACGGUACCGGAAUAUUUGAUUUGAUUGUAAACCUUAAAUAAGAUGACUCCUUUUCUUAGUUGUCACAAUUGACAUUAAUUUUAUAGUUAGUUUUUAUGCCCAUAAGACCCAGACUUGUUAAUAUAUAUUCUACUGAAGAUUCAAGGUAUCUUGGUAAUAAGUCAACAUAUGUGAAUUUACUUCUCAGGGCUUCCUUUUUUUUUUUUUUUCCCCUGAGACGGAGUUUCACUCUUGUUGCACAGGAUGGAGUGUGGUGGCGCGAUCUCAGCUCACUGCAACCCCUGCCUCCCGGGUUCAAUUGAUUCUCCUGCCUCAGCCUCCCCAGUAGCUGGGAUUACAGGCAUGUGCCACCACGCCCAGCUAAUUUUUGUAUUUUUAGUAGAGAUGGGGUUUCACCAUGUUGACCAGGUUGGUCUCGAACUCCUGACCUCAGGGGAUGUGCUGGCCUUGGCCUCCCUAAGUGAUAGGAUUACAGGUGUGAGCCACCGCACCCAGCCUCUCAGGGCUUUCUUGCAUAAAUAUUUCCACAUUUAAAGACAGUAGACGAAGAUUGAAAUCAUCAUAAGCACCAAGAAUGUUAAUUACAUGAUGAGAAGGAUGAAUUUUUGCUCUAGGUAAUUUUACACCUGUUUGUCCCAUCAUUGACUUUGAAAUAAGUGUUUUAAGUUUUAAAAUAAUUUGUUGCAUUAAUAAUAGUAGCUUUAUGAUAGCCAUCCAUUAAGACAAUUAGGAAUCACUAAUUUCUUUUUCCUUAUACUACUCUCUGCCCCUGCCCCCCGCCCCAUUUUUCUUUGCUAUUAAAAAUGGGAAAAGUUGCUGAGAAGUAGAGGAAAGGAGAUGGUUUAUUUUAGGAGAGCCCUUGUAAACUCAAUCCAGAUGGUGAAUCACUUACCUGUGUAUCCACCAACAAUGUAUUUUAUCAUGUCCCAGUGUUUUUGGAACAAAUUUACUAAAGUAGAAUUUAAAAAGAAUACCAGGCCAGGUGCAGUGGCUCAGGCCUGUAGUCCCAGCACUUUGGGGAGGCUGAGGGCAGGUGCAUCACAAGGUCAGGAGUUCGAGACCAGCCUGGCCCACAUAGUGAAACCCCGUCUCUACUAAAAUUACAAAAAUUAGCCAGGCAUGGUGAUAUGCGCCUACAGUCCCAGCUACUUGGGAGGCUGAGGCAGGAGAAUCGCUUGACCUGGGAGGUGCAGGUUGUGGUGAGCCGAGGUUGCGCCACUGCACUCCAGCCUGAGGAACAGAGAGAGACUCCGUCUCAAAAAAAAAAAAAAAAAACCUUAGUUGGGUGCAGAGGCAUGUACUUGUGUUCUCAGCUACUGGGAAAGCUGAGGUGGGAGGAUCUCUUCCACCCAGAAGUUUGAAACCAGCCUGGGCAACGUAGUGAGACCUCCAUCUUAAAAAAUAAUUAAAAAUACAAUGAAGAGAAUACCUCCAUGUUCAACUUUAUGUUCUUCUGGAUGUAUGAUAAUGCGGGAAUUUUAAGGGGUAGUAGUUACUCAUUGAAGCUUUGUUGCCAUUUAAGUUUUUACCUUUGCUGUGGGAAUGGUACUCUUAGAACAUGCACAUUAUUUUGAAAAGGAAGUAUAAACUAGUGAAUAUCAAAGGGGAAAAAUUUUGUUAACCAUUUAUAUUAUGAGCUUGAAGGUUAUAUGUGAAAUACAGAAAAGAUCUAGGUUUGUCUGAUUAUGGAAUUCUAGAUCAAAACAUGUCUUCCAUGUCUGCAGUAAUUCACAAGUUACUGGAAAGGAACAUGUAGAGGGUUUUGAUAUCUAAACCCUACCCAGUUUUCUGUAGGAUCUUGAUUUUAUUUUAAUGCAAGACUGCUGACCCCAUGAUCCUGUGUGUUCUUCAGAGAUACUCUUACUGAUGAUGUAUAAAUGAACUUUGAUUCAGUAAGGUCAGUUUGUAGGUCUCAAAGUACUUUGGUUAUUGUGGUACAUCAGAAUGAUAGCUAGUAUUUACUGAGAUCUUUCUAUAUGUCAGGUAAUAAAAAUCCUAUAAAAGUAUUCUUUCUACAGCCACAGGAGGUAGGUACUAUUUUUAUUUUACAGAUGAAGAACUGUGGAUUUUGUUUCUAAGAAAAUUUCCAGGCUCACAGAACUAAGCCUAAUUUCUUUUUAUUUUUUAGCAAAUACAGUUUUUAUAAGAAUUUGAAUUCUAUGAAAAUAAAUGGAUUACUCCUAAAUCUCUGAUGCCUCAGUGAACACUUUUUCCUUAUUAACAAAAUUCUCACUUUUGGCUUUGGAUUGGCUUUGCAGGAGUGCAGAUUGAUCAUAGCUUUUUUCAUGUCCUAAGAGUUGUCAGAGUUUUCUCUUGUAGCAUUUUUUUCUUUACUUUUUUUUUUUACUAUCUUUAAAUAUAUGACUGUAAGAGUAUGAUAAAUAUGCUGUUUUCUAAUCUCUGCUGUUGUCACAUAAACUAAUAUAUUUUGAGUAAUUUUGAAAUGAUAUUAAUAAUGUCAUUAGAUUUUCUUUGGAUUUUUUGAAAAAAAUAAUGGUUUUAGAAGGAAAUCUGGAUAAAUUUUAUCUCUGUCCUGUGUCAGAAAAAUAUAAAACUUGAGUUUUUUAAAUUAAGGUACUAAGAUAAAUAAAUUGCAUCUAUAGAUAUUGAAAUAUGACUGUAAUUUGAUAAUGCAUUUUCAUUCUCAGUGUCAUUGUUCAUCAUAAUAGUAUUUACAUCACCAACUUCAUUUAGAGCUUGAAUCUUGUAACAAUAGAGAUUGAAAAUAAAUUGGUUUAUAAUUAACUCUGACAGAGAAUGAUGUUUUUACUUUUAUACUUCUCUAUAGAAGUACAUGUCCCUUAAUUUUAAGGAAUGAACAAGUCAGAUGGAAGAUUUUUACUGAGAUCAGGAAUGAAUUGAGUAAUUUAGUUUUCUUUUUAAAGCUGGGGAGAAAUGAGCAAAAUCAAGGAGAAAUAUCUUGCUUUUGAUAUUUAUUACUGAUGCUGUGACACUCCCUUUAAUCAAUGUUUUUUAAUAUGGGUGGCAGUAUCUCAGUUAACCAAAUAGUUAAGUAAGUAGAUUUUUGUAUUGUAUAUAGUAAACAGUAUCCUAAUUGUUGCCAAGGAGACAAGGAAUUACCUAAUGGGCAAAAAUGCCCUUAUAUUUAUUUACCUCAAAUUCAGUCACACUUGACUGUAUCUCCACAAAUUCAGAUGGAGAGCUGGAAAAUUUAUAGAGAAGACCAGGGUUUAAAUCUUGUUUUUUCAAAUUAUGUUUGGUCAUGAUGAAUCUGAAUCAUUUAUUUAAUGAUAAAAUCAUCUGACUUCUCACUUCUCACUUCUCCCUUCAGUUAAAAUUAUUUAAGUAAUGGAUUUGUUUUUCUAUGAGAGACAUUUGGUAUUUUGGUAAUGAAAGUGUAUUAUUUUAGUUGCAUAUAAUUUGAAAACAGCAUUUUAUGGCAAAUCUAUCAAGCCAGGCAGAUACUUUGCAUUUUUGAUCUUUUUUUUUUUUUUUUUUUUUUGGUGGCUACAUCUUUUCUGUAUUCUCAGAUAUGUCGUUAAAGAUGGUGCCACCUAUAGUGGCCAUUUUCGUUAUCUAAACAAAACCAACAUCUGUUGGAUUGAAAAACUAUGCUAUGAUCGACUGCUUUAUGUGUGUAUGUUUUUUUUUUUUUUCAAAUCCCUUAAGAUUCUUUUCUAUAAUUAGUUUUCUUUGAAGAAGCUUGGAAAGUUUUCUGCAUUGAGAUUUAGAAUCCACAGUGUUUCUGUAAUUUAGCUUUCCAGGAAUUUUGAAUUUUAAUUUUUGUUUUUACUUUUUAUGUACACAGUAUAAUGAUGUUAGUGUUAAAUAUUAAAAAUCUGACUCUUCACUGGGACUUUUUUAUAGAUACAAAUGUAUCUGUGGUAGUACAAGGACUUUGUUACUUUGGCGUGCAGUCUUAUCAAGGAGUUGUGUGUGUGUUUUGCAUACAACUUUACAAUUUCAUAGUUGAAAGCUGUUACAAAAUGAAAGUUUUGUGUAUGGUAGGAUAUCUUCAAGGUGGGUGGAUGUUUUCUGUUUAAAAGAUUAAGAUGCCAACAGCGUUUUUUUCUUUUAAUUUUUUCAUCAAGCACCCAGUCAGCUUGAAGAGUUUCAAAUGGACCCUACCACUGAGAAAUCAAGAUGGCAGUCUACUAUGGGGAAUUGAGGAAAAAUGGAUUAAUACAAGAGUCCUGUGAUAAUAUACAACCAAGACAGGGUUCUUUUAACAUGGAUUCCAUGCAGUGAAUGAAGACAUAGGUUUCUUACCCAACACAAAUGGACAGUGGAUUUGACUUUCUAAAGACUUUUUUUGUGGACAUUUUGACAUUUGGAGAAGAAAGAUGGCACACUAACCCAGAUAAUAGUUUUUAUGCCUGGAAUUUUUUGCAGUUUGAUUUGUAUGCGUAUGACCUCUUGAAAUGUUAAUUUUUAAUAAAAUUUGUAACACUUAAAAAUUUCUCAGUUUGGGUUUUUUUUUUUAAGUGGAAGUUUAAUUAAAUGUUUAGUUUUAUUUUAGUAAUACUUUGGCCUUUGUAGUUGCCGAGUGGUAAAGUGUACUGAAUAUGAAUAAAGCUGGUAAAUUGGAAAUGGUGUAAUCGAAAACAUUUUACUUGGUUUAUGAAGAUUUACGUUUUUCACAAAGUUGUGCUCUUAGAUGGUCAUUUGGUUUAAAUACUGUUUUGUUUGUGCUUUCAUGAAACACCUUUCAAAACAACUCAAUGGGUAAUAAUAGAAUCUGAUUUUAAUCUGCCACAAGAUUUUAAUGAACUUGAAACAAACUGCUUGUUGCUCGAAAAUUCAGGAUGAGUGAUACACAUAUACUUCUGAAUUAUUUUGUGUUGAUUGAAAUGGUUUCUUAAGCUUUUUAAUACUAUAAAUACAUCUUGCUAUAGAAUAUUCAUCUGAAUAUUUAAAUUAAUGUCUCCUAUUGUCUUACUAUUAGAGGAAGAAGUGUUGGAUUUAUGGGUUAGGGUCCUUGGAGUAUUCACAAUUUUUUAAAUUUGAAAUUAUGUGUGUAAUCCAUUUUAUAUAACUUUGAAGUAGGAUUAAUAUCUUGUAUCGUCUUUAUUUUGUACAAUUGGGGAUUUAGAAUAAAUGAAUUGCACCCUGCCAUAGAUUACUUACGUUUGAUUUUUAAAUGCCAGGUUUUCAUUUAUUACUAAUCAACUGAUACCAGUUUUGGUAACUAUUACAAAGGUGGUAGGCAUUAUUUUGGUAGACAAAAUGAGUUCUUGAUUCUGUUUUCCCAUUUUACAUGAGAAGAAUAAAUAGUUCAGGUUAAAUUGUUUUGUGUUAAUCAUACUGUUUGUGAUUCAUGUCAAAUACUGCAGCAUACACAUCCAUGGUUAAUACACGAGCACCAUUUGUUAUUGACUGAUGUGAGGUGGUUGGUCUUUGUUAAAUUCAAAAAUGGAAUUUUGGAUAUUGUUCUUGCUACGAAAUUUAUCUUUGUGUGUAGAGUAUGGAAUUGAAACAGUUUGGAUUAUGGAUUUUACCUAGAUUGGACAUUGUUGAUUUUGUUUGGUGUAAAUCUAAAGUGGAUUUCUUCAGUGAGGGAGAGACAUGGUUCUGGCAGAUUAUGUUGAAUAAGGAAAGUUGAUUGGAUUUUUUUGGGUGUGUGAAUAUGCUUGUCUGAAUGGAGUGCUUGGUAGGAUAUUGUUUCUGGAAUUAGUAAUUUGUUUCUGUGGAUCUCAUGGUUUUGAUAUUUAGGAGAAUUUGCUUUGUGACAUUACUUUGAUAAUUUGCAAUCACGUAUGUCCUAUUGUUAAUAACAUUGUUGAAAUGGGUGUAUACUUACUUGAUUUGAAAUAUAAGGGAAGUGUUGGGAUAUGUGUUUUCUGUUGGAUUUGGACGUGGAGUUUCUUGGGUUACUGAUUUAAAGGUGAUCGUGUUUGGACCAUACUCUUGAAUUUUUGCCUGAAUCAGUAUGGGAAGUAAAUAUAUUGUGAUUAUGAGAAGUUUCUUUGGGGGGAGGAGUGUAAUAUUUUCAAGGUUAUAUAAUGGGUUAAAGAAUUUUGUGAAAGAACAAAGAAAAAUGGAUAUUCUUGAAUAAAAAUUGGUUGCAUUAACUUUUGCUCCAGUGCAACUUGAACACUAGGGAGGCGCUCUUGAGUUGUAAAAGUUACCCCUUUCUUCCAGUGGAGAUGGAAAAUUCCCCCUUAAAUUUUGUCUUUAGAUUAUUUUUAGGCAUCAUAAAGAAGGAAAAACUUGAAUUUAUAUUAUGAAAUUAAGGUUUUACUUUUAUUUAGCAAUCAUUUCACCCAUUGGGGGAUUAAUUUUUAAAAAGAUUAGUACUUAGCUGAGCUUUAGAUUCUCUAAGAAUUAUCCCUUUUUCAAAAUGGCUUGAUAAAACACCACUUCCUGUCCAGGGAGGAAGUUAUUUUAGCUCAAGGACUGAAAUAUUUAGCAGAUCUUUAGACAAAAGGAACAAAUUACAUUUCUCUCUGGCUUAAAAAGGGUGCUUGAGCCAGAGGGGGUUAAGAAGCCCUCCCCCCUCCCCCUGUUGGGGUGGUCUGGAGGGGCAGGGAGGUGUGGGGGUGGGGGUCCUUAGGCUCCCUGGGAUGGAGGAUCUGUCUCUCUCUCUCUCUCUCCU
RNAcentral lists this long non-coding RNA (8868 nucleotides) under Homo sapiens (human). Its description in RNAcentral is "HSALNT0383147". Lineage: Eukaryota; Metazoa; Chordata; Mammalia; Primates; Hominidae. The record is from RNAcentral.